RNAcentral lists this long non-coding RNA (2548 nucleotides) under Brassica napus (rape). RNAcentral's name for it is "long non-coding RNA (BNAP_LNC018704)". Lineage: Eukaryota; Viridiplantae; Streptophyta; Magnoliopsida; Brassicales; Brassicaceae. The record is from RNAcentral.
UUAUCCCACUUUCAAAUCAGUUGAUUCCAGUUUCCCAGUUGAUUCCAGUUUCCCAGUUUGGGAAUAAGACAACUUCUUCGUUGUUCCAAUCGAACCAGGAUGAAUCACUUUGUAAGAAGCUUGAUUUGGAUACAUAAAGUGGUGGAGAAUCACCUGGAAGUUAAAUAAAUCUCAUAGGAGUAGGGAAGAAGAAGUUAUCCCUUUUUACAAAUCAAGUGAUUCUAGUUUCCCAGUUUGGUAAUGAGACAACUGCUUCAUCGUUCCAAUCGAACUAGGAUGAACCACUUUAUAAGAAGCCUGAUAUGGAUACAUAAAGUGGUGGAGAAUGACCAGGAAGUUGAAUAAAUCUCAUAGGAGUAGGGAAGAAGAAGUUAUUCCACUUUCAAAUCAGUUGAUUCCAGUUUUCCAGCUUGGGAAUAAGACAACUUCUUCGUCGUUCCAAUCGAACCAGGAUGAAUCACUUUGUAAGAAGCUUGAUAUGGAUACAUAAAGUGGUGGAGAAUGACCAGGAAGUUGAAUAAAUCUCAUAGGAGUUGGGAAGAAGAAGUUAUCCCACUUUCAAAUCAGUUGAUUCCAAAUUCCCAGUUUGGGAAUAAGACAACUUCUUCGUCGUUCCAAUCGAACUAGGAUGAAUCACUUUGUAAGAAGCUUGAUAUGGAUACAUAAAGUGGAGGAGAAUGACCAGGAAGUUGAAAAAAAUCUCAUAGGAGCUGGGAAGAAGAAGUUAUCCCACAUUCAAAUUAGUUGAUUCCAGUUUCCUAGUUAGGAAUAAGACAACUUCUUCGUCGUUCCAAUCGAACCAGGAUGAAUCACUUUUUUAGAAGCUUGAUAUGGAUACAUAAACUGGUGUAGAAUGACCAGGAAGGUGAAAAAAAUCUCAUAGGAGCUGGGAAGAAGAAGUUAUCACACUUUCAAAUCAGUUGAUUCCACUUUUCCAAUUUGGGAAUAAGACAACUUCUUCGUCGUUCCAAUCGAACCAGGAUGAAUCACUUUUUUAGAAGCUUGAUAUGGAUACAUAAACUGGUGUAGAAUGACCAGGAAGUUGAAAAAAAUCUCAUAGGAGCUGAGAAGAAGAAGUUAUCCCACAUUCAAAUCAGUNNNNNNNNNNNNNNNNNNNNNNNNNNNNNNNNNNNNNNNNNNNNNNNNNNNNNNNNNNNNNNNNNNNNNNNNNNNNNNNNNNNNNNUAUCCCUUUUUACAAAUCAGGUGAUUCUACUUUCCCAGUUUGGGAGUAAGACAACUUCUUCAUCGUUCCAAUCGAACUAGGAUGAAUCUCUUUGUAAGAAGCUUGAUAUGGAUACCUAAAGUGGUGCAGAAUGACCAGGAAGUUGAAAAAUAUUUCAUAGGAGCUGAGAAGAAGAAGUUAUCCCACAUUCAAAUUAGUUGAUUCCAGUUUCCCAAUUUGGGAAUAAGACAACUUCUUCGUCGUUCCAAUCGAACUAGGAUGAAUCACUUUGUAAGAAGCUUGAUAUUGAUACCUAAAGUGGUGUAUAAUGACCAGGAAGUUGAAAAAAAAUCUCAUAGGAGUUGGGAAAAAGGAGUUAUCCCACUUUCAAAUCAGUUGAUUCCGGUUUCCCAGUUUGGGAAAAAGACAACUUCUUCGUCGUUCCAAUCGAACCAGGAUGAAUCACUUUGUAAGAAGCUUGAUAUGGAUACAUAAAGUGGUGGAGAAUGACCAGAAAGUUGAAAAAAAUCUCAUAGGAGCUGGGAAGAAGAAGUUAUCCCACUUUCAAAUCAGUUGAUUCCAGUUUCCCAGUUUGAGAAUAAGACAACUUCUUCGUUGUUCAAAUCGAACCAGGAUGAAUCACUUUGUAAGAAGCUUGAUUUGGAUACAUAAAGUGGUGGAGAAUCACCUGGAAGUUGAAUAAAUCUCAUUGGAGUAGGGAAGAAGAAGUUAUCCCUUUUUACAAAUCAGGUGAUUCUAGUUUCCCAGUUUGGGAAUAAGACAACUUCUUCAUCGUUCCAAUCGAACUAGGAUGAACCACUUUGUAAGAAGCCUGAUAUGGUUACAUAAAGUGGUGGAGAAUGACCAGGAAGUUAAAUAAAUCUCAUAGGAGUUGGGAAGAAGAAGUUAUCCCACUUUCAAAUCAGUUGAUUCUAGUUUCCCAGUUUGGGAAUAAGACAACUUCUUCGUCGUUCCAAUCGAACUAGGAUGAAUCCCUUUGUAAGAAGAUUGAUAUGGAUACAUAAAGUGGUGGAGAAUGACCAGGAAGUUGAAAAAAAUCUCAUAGGAGCUGGGAAGAAGAAGUUAUCCCACUUUCAAAUCAGUUGAUUCCAGUUUCCCAGUUAGGGAAUAUGACAACUUCUUCGUCGUUCCAAUCGAACCAGGAUGAAUCACUUUAUAAGAAGCUUGAUCUGGAUACAUAAAGUGGUGGAGAAUGACCAGGAAGUUGAAAAAAAUCUCAUAGAAGCUGGGAAGAAGAAGUUAUCCCACUUUCAAAUCAGUUGAUUCCAGUUUUCCAAUUUGGGAAUAAGACAACUUCUUCGUUGUUCCAAUCGAACCAGGAUGAAUCACUUUGUAAGAAGCUUGAUAUGGAUACAUAAACUGGA